AGCUCCAAUAGCGUAUAUUUAAGUUGUUGCAGUUAAAAAGCUCGUAGUUGGAUUUCGGGUUGGCUUCAGCGGUCUCGCUUUGCGUUUGUACUGCUGCAGCCUGCCUUCUUGUCGGGGACGAGUUUUCGGGCUUAAUUGCCUGGGACUCGGAGUCGACGAUGUUACUUUGAGUAAAUUAGAGUGUUCAAAGCAAGCCUACGCUCUGAAUAUAAUAGCAUGGGAUAACACGACAGGACUCUGGCCUAUCGUGUUGGUCUGUAGGACCAGAGUAAUGAUUAAGAGGGACAGUCGGGGGCAUUCGUAUUCCGUUGUCAGAGGUGAAAUUCUUGGAUUUACGGAAGACGAACAUCUGCGAAAGCAUUUGCCAAGGAUGUUUUCAUUGAUCAAGAACGAAAGUAGG
This 400-nucleotide ribosomal RNA is filed under the name phytoplankton environmental sample. RNAcentral describes it as "partial small subunit ribosomal RNA". It matches the Rfam family "Eukaryotic small subunit ribosomal RNA", at positions 587 to 993 of the family's 1831-position model. The record is from RNAcentral.